CACGUAGUUAGCCGUGACUUUCUGGUUGGAUACCGUCACUGCGUGAACAGUUACUCUCACGCACGUUCUUCUCCAACAACAGAGCUUUACGAGCCGAAACCCUCCUUCACUCACGCGGUGUUGCUCCAUCAGGCUUGCGCCCAUUGUGGAAGAUUCCCUACUGCUGCCUCCCGUAGGAGUACGGACCGUGUCUCAGUUCCAUUGUGGCCGAUCAGUCUCUCAACUCGGCUAUGCAUCAUCGCCUUGGUAAGCCGUUACCUUACCAACUAGCUAAUGCACCGCAGGUCCAUCCCAGAGUGAUAGCCAAAGCCAUCUUCAAACAAAGCCAUGUGGCUUUGUUGUUAUGCGGUAUUAGCAUCUGUUUCCAAAUGUUAUCCCCCGCUCCGGGGCAGGUUCCUACGUGUUACUCACCCGUCCGCCACUCACUGGUGAUCCAUCCGUCAAUCAGGUGCAAGCACCAUCAAUCAGGUUCGGGCCAGUGCGGUUACG
RNAcentral lists this ribosomal RNA (489 nucleotides) under uncultured Lactobacillus sp. RNAcentral's name for it is "partial 16S ribosomal RNA". Lineage: Bacteria; Bacillati; Bacillota; Bacilli; Lactobacillales; Lactobacillaceae. The record is from RNAcentral.